This 408-nucleotide ribosomal RNA is filed under the name uncultured bacterium. RNAcentral's name for it is "partial 16S ribosomal RNA". It matches the Rfam family "Bacterial small subunit ribosomal RNA", at positions 28 to 526 of the family's 1533-position model. The record is from RNAcentral.
GACGAACGCUGUCGGCGUGCUUAACACAUGCAAGUCGAACGAAGUGGCGAACGGGUGAGUAACGCGUAAUCAACCUGCCCUUCAGAGGGGGAUAACAGUUGGAAACGACUGCUAAUACCGCAUACUGAUGGAGGGGAUUGCGUCUGAUUAGCUGGUUGGAGGGGUAACGGCCCACCAAGGCGAUGCUCAGUAGCCGGUCUGGAAGGAGGAACGGCCACCAUGGGACUGAGGCACGGCCCAAGCUCCUACGGGGAGCAGCAGGGGGGAAUCUUCCGCAAUGGACGAAAGUCUGACGGAGGAAAGCCGCGUGAGUGAUGACGGCCUUCGGGUUGGAAAGCUCUGUUAAUCGGGGCGCGGUACCGAAAUAGAAAGCCACGGCUAACUACGUGCCAGCCGCCGCGGUAAUUC